This 330-nucleotide ribosomal RNA is filed under the name uncultured soil bacterium. Its description in RNAcentral is "bacterial SSU rRNA". It matches the Rfam family "Bacterial small subunit ribosomal RNA", at positions 26 to 382 of the family's 1533-position model. The record is from RNAcentral.
AGAACGAACGCUGGCGGCAUGCCUAAUACAUGCAAGUCGAACGAACUCUUCGGAGUUAGUGGCGCACGGGUGCGUAACGCGUGGGAAUCUGCCCCUUGGUUCGGAAUAACAGUUGGAAACGACUGCUAAUACCGGAUGAUGACGAAAGUCCAAAGAUUUAUCGCCAAGGGAUGAGCCCGCGUAGGAUUAGCUAGUUGGUGAGGUAAGCUCACCAGGCAACGAUCCUUAGCUGUCUGAGAGGAUGAUCACGCCACACUGGGACUAGAGACGACGGCCCAGACUCCUACGGGAGGCAGCAGUGGGAAGUUUGGACAAGUGGGACGUAAAGCC